Mauremys mutica (yellowpond turtle) is the source of this 848-nucleotide long non-coding RNA. RefSeq lists it as uncharacterized. The transcript has 5 exons. Lineage: Eukaryota; Metazoa; Chordata; Testudines; Geoemydidae. The record is from RefSeq and is a predicted model, not a curated record.
CACCUCCUCAUCCUGCUGCUGGCUCGCCUCCUUACUCCUUGGCCAGGGCCCUCCCUGCCACUCACCUCACCCCCACCCCGCAGUCCCCUGCUGCUCACCUCCUCAACUCCCCGCUGCUCACUCCCGCCUCCUUACCCCACCCCCACUCGUCUACUCCCCCGCUCGCAGCCAGACCCCCACUCGCCCUCCUCACCCUGCUGCUGGCUCACCGCUCACCUCCUUACUCCUCCGCCAGGGCCCACUGCCAUUCGCAUCUUGUUUUCUCAUCUCCUCACCCAUUGCUCACCUUGCUGCUCGCUUCCUCAUCCCCCGCCCACUGAUCGCCUUACCGUUCUCCUCCUCAUCCCCCCACUUGCCUCGCUGCUCGCUUCCUCACCUCCUCACCCCCCGCUCACCUCUCGCCUCCUCACCCCACCCCUGCUUGCCUCCUUACUCCCCUGCCAGGCCCCCCCGUCCACUGCUUGUCUCACCACUCACUUCCAUAGGCGGCAGGCUCCCCCAUCCACUGCUCGCCUCGCCGCCUCACCUUGUUCCUUAAGCGUUGUGUGUCCCACCUGUGUCUCCAGAGAGGCAGUGCAUGCAGGAGCAACAGGAGGAAGUUUGUUCAAGAUGGCGAUGGAAGCUGAGCACGAGGUCCAGAGUUAUCCCUAGGAUUGCAUCAAAGGCAGCUUUCUCUUGAAUAAUACACUAAUAUCAGGACCGUUCUACUCGUUCUUGCAAAGCUCUACUCAUCAGAAAGCCCCGAUUCUCAAAUGAUGCAGCUCCAGUGAAGUCAAGUACAAUUAUACUGUACUAAUAGAUAUGUCACUCUGUGAACCAACGCUGAUUUACUCCAGGUGAGGAAGGGC